RNAcentral lists this ribosomal RNA (158 nucleotides) under Philonotis fontana. RNAcentral's name for it is "5.8S ribosomal RNA". It matches the Rfam family "5.8S ribosomal RNA". From Rfam's summary of the family: 5.8S ribosomal RNA (5.8S rRNA) is a component of the large subunit of the eukaryotic ribosome. RNAcentral also lists the same sequence under 17 other names. The record is from RNAcentral. Lineage: Eukaryota; Viridiplantae; Streptophyta; Bryopsida; Bartramiales; Bartramiaceae.
AAACAACUCUCAGCAACGGAUAUCUUGGCUCUUGCAACGAUGAAGAACGCAGCGAAAUGCGAUACGUAGUGUGAAUUGCAGAAUUCCGCGAAUCAUCGAGUCUUUGAACGCAAGUUGCGCCCGAGGCUUGUCCGAGGGCAUUUCCGCUAGAGCGUCAC